RNAcentral lists this long non-coding RNA (322 nucleotides) under Mytilus galloprovincialis (Mediterranean mussel). Lineage: Eukaryota; Metazoa; Mollusca; Bivalvia; Mytilida; Mytilidae. The record is from RNAcentral.
UGAAUAUAUAUUGAAAACGAAUGUUGAAUUUUUAAAAAAACGAUUGUUUGAUAUUGAAAUUGAAUGUAGAAUAUUGAAAAUGAAAUGUUGAAUGUUGAAAAUCGAAUGUUGAAUGUUGAAUAUUGAAAACGAAUGUUGCAUGGUGAAAAUAGAAUGUUGAAAAUGGAAUAUUGAAACAGGUGUUGAAUGUUGGAAACGAAUGUUGAAAAAAAAAAAUGUUUCACAAAAGAAACGAAUGUUGAAAAAAAAAAUGUUUCACAAGAAAAUUAUUUGAAUGUUGAAUAUUGAAAUCGAAUGUUGAUUGUUGAAAAUGAAAGCUGGA